ACAAGGCAUACGGCUCAGUAACGCGUAGUCAACCUACCCUAUGGACGGGGAUAAUCUCGGGAAACUGAGCAUAAUACCCGGCAGACCACUUAUCCUGGAAUGGUUAGUGGUUAAAAUGAUUCGUCGCCAUAGGAUGGGACUGCGGCCUAUCAGCUUGUUGGUGAGGUAAUGGCCCACCAAGGCGAUUACAGGUACGGGCUCUGAGAGGAGAGGCCCGGAGAUGGGUACUGAGACAAGGACCCAGGCCCUAUGGGGCGCAGCAGGCGAGAAAACUUUGCAAUGUGCGAAAGCACGACAAGGUUAAUCCGAGUGAUUUCUGCUAAAGGAAUCUUUUGUUAGUUCUAAAAAUACUAGUGAAUAAGGGGUGGGCAAGUUCUGGUGUCAGCCGCCGCGGUAAAGCCAGCACCUCAAGUGGUCAGGAGGAUUAUUGGGCCUAAAGCAUCCGUAGCCUGUUCUAUAAGUUUGCGGUUAAAUCUAUACGCUCAA
Molecule: ribosomal RNA, 486 nt
Filed under: uncultured archaeon
Lineage: Archaea
Description: bacterial SSU rRNA
Rfam family: Archaeal small subunit ribosomal RNA
Source: RNAcentral